GGUUUCCUACGGGGGGCAGCAGUCGGGAAUAUUGCGCAAUGGAGGAAACUCUGACGCAGUGACGCCGCGUGCAGGAAGAAGGAUUUCGGAUUGUAAACUGCUUUAGACAGGGAAGAUAAUGACAGUACCUGUAGAAUAAGCUCCGGCUAACUACGUGCCAGCAGCCGCGGUAAUAAGUAGGGAGCAAGCGUUAUCCGGAUUUAUUGGGUGUAAAGGGUGCGUAGACGGGAAGGCAAGUUGGUUGUGAGAUCCCUCGGCUUAACUG
This 265-nucleotide ribosomal RNA is filed under the name uncultured bacterium. RNAcentral's name for it is "partial 16S ribosomal RNA". It matches the Rfam family "Bacterial small subunit ribosomal RNA", at positions 333 to 615 of the family's 1533-position model. The record is from RNAcentral.